Molecule: ribosomal RNA, 311 nt
Filed under: uncultured eukaryote
Lineage: Eukaryota
Description: partial 18S ribosomal RNA
Rfam family: Eukaryotic small subunit ribosomal RNA
Source: RNAcentral
CCCCUAGACGUUCUGGGCUGCACGCGCGCUACAAUAAUACGCACAGCGAGUAUCACCGAGCUCGAAAGGGCAAGGUAAACAAUAGAAAAGGUACUGUAAUGGUUAUAGAUCCUUGUAAUUAUUGAUCUUCAACGAGGAAUUCCUAGUAAGUAUGUGUCAUCAUCACGCACUGAUUACGUCCCUGCCCUUUGUACACACCGCCCGUCGCUCCUACCGAUUGGGUGAGCCGAUGAAACUCUCGGAUGUAGGCUAUUCAUAGCCCGCAGAAGAGAUUUGAAUCGUAGCGCUUAGAGGAAGUAAAAGUCGUAACA